Molecule: ribosomal RNA, 649 nt
Filed under: Lacticaseibacillus rhamnosus
Lineage: Bacteria; Bacillati; Bacillota; Bacilli; Lactobacillales; Lactobacillaceae
Description: bacterial SSU rRNA
Rfam family: Bacterial small subunit ribosomal RNA
Source: RNAcentral
CAAGUCUGAUGGAGCAACGCCGCGUGAGUGAAGAAGGCUUUCGGGUGCGUAAAACUCUGUUGUUGGAGAAGAAUGGUCGGCAGAGUAACUGUUGUCGGCGUGACGGUAUCCAACCAGAAAGCCACGGCUAACUACGUGCCAGCAGCCGCGGUAAUACGUAGGUGGCAAGCGUUAUCCGGAUUUAUUGGGCGUAAAGCGAGCGCAGGCGGUUUUUUAAGUCUGAUGUGAAAGCCCUCGGCUUAACCGAGGAAGUGCAUCGGAAACUGGGAAACUUGAGUGCAGAAGAGGACAGUGGAACUCCAUGUGUAGCGGUGAAAUGCGUAGAUAUAUGGAAGAACACCAGUGGCGAAGGCGGCUGUCUGGUCUGUAACUGACGCUGAGGCUCGAAAGCAUGGGUAGCGAACAGGAUUAGAUACCCUGGUAGUCCAUGCCGUAAACGAUGAAUGCUAGGUGUUGGAGGGUUUCCGCCCUUCAGUGCCGCAGCUAACGCAUUAAGCAUUCCGCCUGGGGAGUACGACCGCAAGGUUGAAACUCAAAGGAAUUGACGGGGGCCCGCACAAGCGGUGGAGCAUGUGGUUUAAUUCGAAGCAACGCGAAGAACCUUACCAGGUCUUGACAUCUUUUGAUCACCUGAGAGAUCAGGGUUCCC